Molecule: small nucleolar RNA, 69 nt
Filed under: Suricata suricatta (meerkat)
Lineage: Eukaryota; Metazoa; Chordata; Mammalia; Carnivora; Herpestidae
Description: Small nucleolar RNA SNORD2 (ENSSSUG00005010632.1)
Rfam family: Small nucleolar RNA SNORD2
Source: Rfam by way of RNAcentral
CUGUGCAAUUAUGGUGAUCAUCUCUGAGAACUGGACUGAAAUGAAGUGAAUACACUUUGCUGAUCACUU